Molecule: ribosomal RNA, 253 nt
Filed under: uncultured bacterium
Lineage: Bacteria
Description: partial 16S ribosomal RNA
Rfam family: Bacterial small subunit ribosomal RNA
Source: RNAcentral
UACGUAGGGGGCAAGCGUUGUCCGGAAUCAUUGGGCGUAAAGCGCGUGUAGGCGGUUCGAUCAGUCUGCUGUGAAAGUCAGGGGCUCAACCCUUGAAUGCCGGUGGAUACUGUCGGGCUAGAGUGCGGAAGAGGCGAGUGGAAUUCCUGGUGUAGCGGUGAAAUGCGCAGAUAUCAGGAGGAACACCAAUUGCGAAGGCAGCUCGCUGGGACGUUACUGACGCUGAGACGCGAAAGCGUGGGGAGCAAACAGG